RNAcentral lists this transfer RNA (68 nucleotides) under Ciceribacter sp. L1K22. RNAcentral describes it as "tRNA-Thr". Lineage: Bacteria; Pseudomonadati; Pseudomonadota; Alphaproteobacteria; Hyphomicrobiales; Rhizobiaceae. The record is from RNAcentral.
GCGGUAGAGCAGCCCGGUAGCUCGUGAGGCUCGUAGCUGGGAGGUCGCGGGUUCGAAUCCCGCCCGCA